RNAcentral lists this ribosomal RNA (740 nucleotides) under Pseudomonas cuatrocienegasensis. RNAcentral's name for it is "bacterial SSU rRNA". It matches the Rfam family "Bacterial small subunit ribosomal RNA", at positions 73 to 809 of the family's 1533-position model. The record is from RNAcentral. Lineage: Bacteria; Pseudomonadati; Pseudomonadota; Gammaproteobacteria; Pseudomonadales; Pseudomonadaceae.
ACGGAGCUUGCUUCUCUUGAGAGCGGCGGACGGGUGAGUAAUGCCUAGGAAUCUGCCUAGUGGUGGGGGAUAACGUUCGGAAACGGACGCUAAUACCGCAUACGUCCUACGGGAGAAAGCGGGGGACCUUCGGGCCUCGCGCCAUUAGAUGAGCCUAGGUCGGAUUAGCUAGUUGGUGAGGUAAAGGCUCACCAAGGCGACGAUCCGUAACUGGUCUGAGAGGAUGAUCAGUCACACUGGAACUGAGACACGGUCCAGACUCCUACGGGAGGCAGCAGUGGGGAAUAUUGGACAAUGGGGGAAACCCUGAUCCAGCCAUGCCGCGUGUGUGAAGAAGGUCUUCGGAUUGUAAAGCACUUUAAGUUGGGAGGAAGGGUAGUAACUUAAUACGUUGCUACUUUGACGUUACCGACAGAAUAAGCACCGGCUAACUCUGUGCCAGCAGCCGCGGUAAUACAGAGGGUGCAAGCGUUAAUCGGAAUUACUGGGCGUAAAGCGCGCGUAGGUGGUUUGUUAAGUUGGAUGUGAAAGCCCCGGGCUCAACCUGGGAACUGCAUCCAAAACUGGCAAGCUAGAGUACGGUAGAGGGUGGUGGAAUUUCCUGUGUAGCGGUGAAAUGCGUAGAUAUAGGAAGGAACACCAGUGGCGAAGGCGACCACCUGGACUGAUACUGACACUGAGGUGCGAAAGCGUGGGGAGCAAACAGGAUUAGAUACCCUGGUAGUCCACGCCGUAAACGA